This 211-nucleotide long non-coding RNA is filed under the name Homo sapiens (human). RNAcentral describes it as "HSALNT0164406". The record is from RNAcentral. Lineage: Eukaryota; Metazoa; Chordata; Mammalia; Primates; Hominidae.
GUGAAUAUUUUACUUCUGCAAAAUGAAAACAGCAUUUCAUCAGAAGUUGUUUUAUGGUCUUUCAGACAUUUUAUUGUAUAUCUUUGGUGCUUUUUGCCCAUGAAGUAUCUCUUUUGUGUGUUUGUGUGUAUGUGUAUUGAUCUGCUGUAAAUUUCACAGCACUCAUUGUCAGGGAUCAGCAGAAUCAGGCCUAGGCAGAGAGCUGAGCAGU